AUACCAUGUUGAGGACACUUUCAGAGCAUCUCCUUGAACCGUUCCCACGCCUCAUAUAAUUGUUCAUACUCAAAUUGCCAAAAUUGAGUGAUCUCGGCCCUCAGUUG
This is a non-coding RNA of Morus notabilis, 107 nucleotides long. NCBI's taxonomy places the organism in Eukaryota, Viridiplantae, Streptophyta, Magnoliopsida, Rosales, Moraceae. The record is from Rfam.